GGCGUGCUUAACACAUGACAGUCGAGCGGUAAGGCCCUUCGGGGUACACGAGCGGCGAACGGGUGAGUAACACGUGGGUGAUCUGCCUCGUACUCUGGGAUAAGCCUGGGAAACUGGGUCUAAUACCGGAUAUGACCACAUGUCGCAUGGUGUGUGGUGGAAAGAUUUAUCGGUGCGAGAUGGGCCCGCGGCCUAUCAGCUUGUUGGUGGGGUAACGGCCUACCAAGGCGACGACGGGUAGCCGACCUGAGAGGGUGAUCGGCCACACUGGGACUGAGACACGGCCCAGACUCCUACGGGAGGCAGCAGUGGGGAAUAUUGCACAAUGGGCGGAAGCCUGAUGCAGCGACGCCGCGUGCGGGAUGACGGCCUUCGGGUUGUAAACCGCUUUCGACUCCGACGAAGCGCAAGUGACGGUAGGAGUAGAAGAAGCACCGGCCAACUACGUGCCAGCAGCCGCGGUAAUACGUAGGGUGCGAGCGUUGUCCGGAAUUACUGGGCGUAAAGAGCUUGUAGGCGGUCUGUCGCGUCUUCUGUGAAAAUUCACAGCUCAACUGUGAACCUGCAGGGGAUACGGGCAGACUAGAGUACUUCAGGGGAGACUGGAAUUCCUGGUGUAGCGGUGAAAUGCGCAGAUAUCAGGAGGAACACCGGUGGCGAAGGCGGGUCUCUGGGAAGUAACUGACGCUGAGAAGCGAAAGCGUGGGUAGCGAACAGGAUUAGAUACCCUGGUAGUCCACGCCGUAAACGGUGGGUACUAGGUGUGGGUUUCCUUCCACGGGAUCCGUGCCGUAGCUAACGCAUUAAGUACCCCGCCUGGGGAGUACGGCCGCAAGGCUAAAACUCAAAUGAAA
Molecule: ribosomal RNA, 854 nt
Filed under: Nocardia mexicana
Lineage: Bacteria; Bacillati; Actinomycetota; Actinomycetes; Mycobacteriales; Nocardiaceae
Description: bacterial SSU rRNA
Rfam family: Bacterial small subunit ribosomal RNA
Source: RNAcentral